GGCCACCUUCGGGGGGCUUAUCACAUAGGCGGAUCCCGAUCCGCCGUUAGCUAACGGAAGACAGAAA
This is a regulatory RNA element of Roseovarius indicus, 67 nucleotides long. It matches the Rfam family "L2-Alphaproteobacteria ribosomal protein leader". The record is from Rfam. NCBI's taxonomy places the organism in Bacteria, Pseudomonadati, Pseudomonadota, Alphaproteobacteria, Rhodobacterales, Roseobacteraceae.